ACCUAGCGGCGGACGGGUGAGUAAUGCUUAGGAAUCUGCCUAUUAGUGGGGGACAACAUCUCGAAAGGGAUGCUAAUACCGCAUACGUCCUACGGGAGAAAGCAGGGGACCUUCGGGCCUUGCGCUAAUAGAUGAGCCUAAGUCGGAUUAGCUAGUUGGUGGGGUAAAGGCCUACCAAGGCGACGAUCUGUAGCGGGUCUGAGAGGAUGAUCCGCCACACUGGGACUGAGACACGGCCCAGACUCCUACGGGAGGCAGCAGUGGGGAAUAUUGGACAAUGGGGGGAACCCUGAUCCAGCCAUGCCGCGUGUGUGAAGAAGGCCUUUUGGUUGUAAAGCACUUUAAGCGAGGAGGAGGCUACCGAGAUUAAUACUCUUGGAUAGUGGACGUUACUCGCAGAAUAAGCACCGGCUAACUCUGUGCCAGCAGCCGCGGUAAUACAGAGGGUGCAAGCGUUAAUCGGAUUUACUGGGCGUAAAGCGCGCGUAGGUGGCCAAUUAAGUCAAAUGUGAAAUCCCCGAGCUUAACUUGGGAAUUGCAUUCGAUACUGGUUGGCUAGAGUAUGGGAGAGGAUGGUAGAAUUCCAGGUGUAGCGGUGAAAUGCGUAGAGAUCUGGAGGAAUACCGAUGGCGAAUGCAGCCAUCUGGCCUAAUACUGACACUGAGGUGCGAAAGCAUGGGGAGCAAACAGGAUUAGAUACCCUGGUAGUCCAUGCCGUAGACGAUGUCUACUAGCCGUUGGGGCCUUUGAGGCUUUAGUGGCGCAGCUAACGCGAUAAGUAGACCGCCUGAGGAGUACGG
This 800-nucleotide ribosomal RNA is filed under the name uncultured bacterium. Its description in RNAcentral is "bacterial SSU rRNA". It matches the Rfam family "Bacterial small subunit ribosomal RNA", at positions 90 to 885 of the family's 1533-position model. The record is from RNAcentral.